RNAcentral lists this ribosomal RNA (406 nucleotides) under uncultured bacterium. Its description in RNAcentral is "partial 16S ribosomal RNA". It matches the Rfam family "Bacterial small subunit ribosomal RNA", at positions 30 to 526 of the family's 1533-position model. The record is from RNAcentral.
AUUGAACGCUGGCGGCAGGCCUAACACAUGCAAGUCGAACGAGUGGCGGACGGGUGUGAAAUGUCUGGGAAACUGCCCGAUGGAGGGGGAUAACAACAGGAAACGGUAGAUAUUACCGCAUACCAUAGGAGGUGCCCAUAUGGGAUGAGCUUGUAUGUGUGGUAAAGGCGCACGUAGGCGACGAUCCCUAGCUGGUCUGAGAGGGUGGCCAGCCACACUGGAACUGAGACACGGUCCAGACUCCUAAGGGAGGCAGCAGUGGGGAAUAUUGCACAAUGGGCGCAAGCCUGAUGCAGCCAUGCCGCGUGUAUGAAGAAGGCCUUCGGGUUGUAAAGUACUUUCAGCGGGGAGGCGUUACCCGCAGAAGAAGCACCGGCUAACUCCGUGCCAGCCGCCGCGGUAAUUC